Long non-coding RNA from Mesocricetus auratus (golden hamster), 235 nucleotides. RefSeq lists it as uncharacterized. The transcript has 2 exons. NCBI's taxonomy places the organism in Eukaryota, Metazoa, Chordata, Mammalia, Rodentia, Cricetidae. The record is from RefSeq and is a predicted model, not a curated record.
CGCUACCGUCUCGCCAGCAAGAACGACGCAGAACACUCGGAUCCUUCUGCAUGAGAAGACCUGACCGCUGUGGGUAGCACUAGUCCUGGAUGAUAUAAAAAUGAAAAGGUGGAGUGAACACAACAUUCAUUGUUCUCUGCUUCCUUGCUGUAAAUGCUACUUCAAGCUCUGGAACCUCCAGCCAAGACUGACUACACCCUUGAACUGUGAGCCAGAAUAAAUACUUUAUCUCUCG